GAUCCUGGCUCAGGAUGAACGCUGGCGGCGCGCCUAACACAUGCAAGUCGAACGGACGAUGAAAAGCUUGCUUUUCAAAGUUAGCGGCGGACGGGUGAGUAACGCGUGGGUAACCUGCCUCAUACAGGGGGAUAACAGUUAGAAAUGGCUGCUAAUACCGCAUAAGACCACAGCACCGCAUGGUGCAGGGGUAAAAACUCCGGUGGUAUGAGAUGGACCCGCGUCUGAUUAGCUAGUUGGUGGGG
RNAcentral lists this ribosomal RNA (245 nucleotides) under uncultured bacterium. Its description in RNAcentral is "partial 16S ribosomal RNA". It matches the Rfam family "Bacterial small subunit ribosomal RNA", at positions 15 to 257 of the family's 1533-position model. The record is from RNAcentral.